CGCGCUUGCGCUGCGCUGCGUUGGCUGACCGCGCAACGAAGACGACGCGGCCGCUGGUUCCGUUUUGAUGCGGGAAUUUGAGGAUGCCUUUCAAGGUUGCCGAAAAAGUCAUCGGUUCCUUGGUUUGUUUGCGAAUCGAUUCUCAGUGUACAUAAGCACGUGAGCUUUCAGGCGGAAGGCACGGCGGUGCAGUAAAAACGUGACUUCUGUAAGCCCUCUGUAGCAGAGAAACGGCCCCGCUUCGCCGUCACGCCGCGUUCGUCUCACCGCGUUUUGGCGGCACCUGCGUUUGGGAACAACUGUUUUCGGGAUGAAGCACGGGAAGAGUGAAACUUCAUUACAAAUCUCCGAGGAACGCCCUGAGAGCUCACUAAGAACUGCGGCCAUUGCCGUGGCACCAGGUUUCCGUGGAAAUAAAUAGGAGGCAUUAGUUUUGGAGCAACCUAUGUGGCUCUAGUUUGUUCCUCUUCACACCGUAUGGCCCAGGUAAGCCAAAAGUUGGACCAUACUAUAGAGCUCCUAGUACACUUUUUGUACUGAGAAGACUGGUCCGAGGAUCAAGCAUGUGCUAGAAAAUCUGCUUUCAGGUCAGAUUUGCUGGUUAGACACACAUGUUAUUACAGAUGACAGCAAUUUGUGAGAGAAUUGAAGCAGUGCAAUCGGAUGUGGAGUGGUGCAGGUAAUGAAGCCAAAAUGAUUGAAGAUGGCAUGUCAGGUUGGCUGCAUCUGCCACUUUUUCCAUCUCCCUGAAACUUCCUUUUAGCACUGUAAGUGAAAGAAAGCUUAGUAUAUAGGGGUGGGAGGAGUUUAAAUUUAGUAGCCGCUGUGUGCCAAGCAUAUAGUCAUUUUUCUUCAGGGAAUUAGUUGAGUCCAGCACAUUGGCAAUGGGUAAGGGGAAACCUAUUCUGCUUCCAGCUGGCUGAGCUAGGACUCCAUAGCUCAGAGGUUUGAAGCAUUAUGCUGCCUGACAUAGGACGAUUGCCUGAUGACCAAGUACAAGGUUAGGAAAUACAAAUUACCACUCUGACAAAGCCAUCAUAUGUGUAGGGAGAUUCUGAUCUUGUUACCAGUAUUAAUAAGAAACAAUUAAAUAUGUUUAUUUUGGUAAAAUAGCAGGAAGAAAGAUGGAUAAGAAGUAAACCCAAAAUAAACUAUUUAAAAGGGGGAAUUAUUUUUUGCCCCAAAGGACAAAAGGCAUUGUUUGUUAACCAUGCAAAUUAGCUUGUAAUUAUGCAGUUAAUUAGUAUAAGUUAAGUUUGAUUGUGUUUUUCAAAAAAACAGUUGUUUAAUCUAGACUACUUUUAUUCAACAUCAAAAGCAGAACUACUUGCUGUGAGGGCCAGUACAUCCGUCCAAAAGGCUGAAUGUAAACCAGACAACCAGCAAAAGGGGAGUCCUUUUCCAGUCUCAGCUCACUCUCACAGCCCAAAGACCCAGAUCUUCACCUGCCACUGUGCUUUAUGCUUAGCCUGUCAAGUGAAGUGCAGUCACGAGUAUUAAGAACUUCUUAAUCGUAAAACUGAAGUGCUUGUAUUGUAUUAUUAUCAAGCCAUCUGAAUGCUUCAGAUAAUGCUUAUUGAAAAACAAAAAUGUGGAAAGCUGGGGAUCUGAGUCUAAAUGCAGAACUCUAGCCACAAGACAAGAUCAAGUUGUUUUUGUAAUAGGAAAAUAUUACUUUCUGGGAAUUGCAAAGAAUUAAUUUACAUGGUAGAUCUGUUCACCUUCCUGCUACUUGUGUAUGUCCUUUCUAUGUUUAACACUUACAUACUGGUUUGAUGUAUAUGAUACAAAUAUACAUUUAAAUAUAUAGAUUUGAAUAAAAUAGUUUGUUUUGUCUCUUUUUAACAUGAAUUUAAGCUACUAACUUGUGUGACCAUGCCAGUUUAUAUACAGUCAUUCAUGUUUCUCCUUUGUAAAAACAUAGUUGAUAAACUAAGAGGAGAUGCCCAUUGAAUUCUAUACCCUUUAUAUUCUUAAUACAUCUCAGAGGUUGGAGAGAGAAUUUCCUUUUUUUU
This is a long non-coding RNA of Tympanuchus pallidicinctus (lesser prairie-chicken), 2015 nucleotides long. RefSeq lists it as uncharacterized. The transcript has 3 exons. The record is from RefSeq and is a predicted model, not a curated record. Lineage: Eukaryota; Metazoa; Chordata; Aves; Galliformes; Phasianidae.